GAAAUUCUUGGGCAUAAAACCUUGUGGACAUCAACUGAGAAAUGCAAUCCUCUUGUGCACAGGGACACUUCAGCCAUCUGGAAAGUCCUCUUGUGAAAUCCUUAUCUAGGAUAAGCACAGGCCCACUCUGAAGAACCUUGUGACUUCAAUUCUUAAGGAAUUCACAACUCGAUGUGAAAGAAGUCAGCACAACUCUCAUUCCCAGUGUCUGAUACCAGGAAGAAAAAAACUUCCAGGGAAUAAUGGGAUGUUUCCAGCUUGUAUAGUCCCACCAAAACAAGCAGCUAUGCAAGAUGGCUUUCCAGCUUCAAACUGUGAUGUGAGGAGGAAAUAAAUUCCUGACGUGUUGCUGAACAGUGACCCUGAUGUAGCCUAGGCGGGGCAUUUUUCCCCGUGCAUCCAUCUCUUUGCUACUGAUGAAGAUCCCAUGGAACACAGCUGUCUUCAUUUCUGAGGCUCAUGAGAUACUGCUGAGUGGAGGUGUGGGGAUUUGGAUUUCUUUUCAA
Molecule: long non-coding RNA, 506 nt
Organism: Prinia subflava (tawny-flanked prinia)
Lineage: Eukaryota; Metazoa; Chordata; Aves; Passeriformes; Cisticolidae
Exons: 5
Source: RefSeq, a predicted model, not a curated record